AAGUAAAAGUCGUAACAAGGUUUCCGUAGGUGAACCUGCGGAAGGAUCAUUACCGAAUUUAAUUCCGGGGUUGUAGCUGGCCAUUGUUUUGGCAUGUGCACGCCCUGGUAAUCCAAAUUACUUACACCUCUGUGCACUAUUAUGUGGGAUUGAUGAAGCUUCGGUGCUUGCGCUGAUGGCAUUAUCAUUCUCAUGUUUUCAUAUACACUCUUCAGUAUAGAAUGUUAUUGCGUCAAACGCAUCUUAAUACAACUUUCAGCAACGGAUCUCUUGGCUCUCGCAUCGAUGAAGAACGCAGCGAAAUGCGAUAAGUAAUGUGAAUUGCAGAAUUCAGUGAAUCAUCGAAUCUUUGAACGCACCUUGCGCUCCUUGGUAUUCCGAGGAGCAUGCCUGUUUGAGUGUCAUGGUAUUCUCAAUCCAUCUGGUUCUGUUAAAAGAACUCAGUUGGACUUGGAUAUGGAGGUUUCUUGCUGGUCUUCAUAGAUCGGCUCCUCUGAAAUACAUCAGCAUGAAUAGAACGCUGUUUUCAGUGUGAUAAUUAUCUACACUGUGAUUUGGCCUUGCUAUUUUUGCUUCCAAUCGUCUGCAUUGUUCAGACAAUUUUAUUGACAUCUGACCUCAAAUCAGGUAGGACUACCCGCUGAACUUAAGCAU
RNAcentral lists this ribosomal RNA (654 nucleotides) under Neohypochnicium albostramineum. RNAcentral describes it as "eukaryotic LSU rRNA". The stretch from base 251 to 404 matches the Rfam family "5.8S ribosomal RNA". Lineage: Eukaryota; Fungi; Basidiomycota; Agaricomycetes; Polyporales. The record is from RNAcentral.